RNAcentral lists this ribosomal RNA (253 nucleotides) under uncultured bacterium. Its description in RNAcentral is "partial 16S ribosomal RNA". It matches the Rfam family "Bacterial small subunit ribosomal RNA", at positions 524 to 776 of the family's 1533-position model. The record is from RNAcentral.
UACGUAGGGCGCAAGCGUUGUCCGGAAUUAUUGGGCGUAAAGAGCUCGUAGGCGGCCUGUUGCGUCCGCUGUGAAAUCCCGGGGCUCAACCCCGGGCCUGCAGUGGAUACGGGCUGGCUAGAGGCAGGCAGGGGAGAACGGAAUUCCUGGUGUAGCGGUGAAAUGCGCAGAUACCAGGAGGAACACCGGUGGCGAAGGCGGUUCUCUGGGCCUGUACUGACGCUGAGGAGCGAAAGCGUGGGGAGCAAACAGG